Molecule: ribosomal RNA, 278 nt
Filed under: uncultured bacterium
Lineage: Bacteria
Description: partial 16S ribosomal RNA
Rfam family: Bacterial small subunit ribosomal RNA
Source: RNAcentral
AUCCCUACGGGGGGCAGCAGUGAGGAAUAUUGGUCAAUGGACGAGAGUCUGAUGGAGCAACGCCGCGUGAGUGAAGAAGGGUUUCGGCUCGUAAAGCUCUGUUGGGAGUGAAGAAAGAUAGAGGUAGUAACUGGCCUUUAUUUGACGGUAAUUACUUAGAAAGUCACGGCUAACUACGUGCCAGCAGCCGCGGUAAUACGUAGGUGGCAAGCGUUGUCCGGAUUUAUUGGGCGUAAAGCGAGUGCAGGCGGGUACAUAAGACUGAUGUGAAAGACUUC